CCCCUGGUGGCGAAACGGUUAGACGCGGUAGACUCAAAAUCUACUGCCUGUACAGGCAUGAGAGUUCGACUCUCUCCUGGGGGAC
Molecule: transfer RNA, 85 nt
Filed under: Holospora curviuscula
Lineage: Bacteria; Pseudomonadati; Pseudomonadota; Alphaproteobacteria; Holosporales; Holosporaceae
Description: tRNA-Leu
Rfam family: tRNA
About the family: Transfer RNA (tRNA) molecules are approximately 80 nucleotides in length.
Source: RNAcentral